CAUUUUGGUGUGCAGCGGUUCCGUGGUUCCUUGCUGGUGUCAAAUUACUUCCAGGCACAAACUUGUGAUGUGGCAAGAACGCUUUUAAACUAAAGUUUUUGCAUGCAGUUUUGGACAGUACCCGCGUCUCGUGGUUUUUAUGUAGAUAUUGUAAAAACCUUUGGGUUUAAUUAGCAAGCAGACGACGUGAUUUAAAUCUUGGAUAAUUAUCAGAAUGUUUUGGAAUUUUCUGCCAGUGGUUGGUUUGCUGGUAUUUUUUGUACCAAAUCCAUCAGAAUCCAAGUCCGGUAAUGGUCUUAUUGUUAUGACCGUCGCUACUUCCGAGACCGAUGGCUUCAAGAGGUUCAUGGCAUCCACCAAGAAAUACGGAUUAGAUGUCAAGGUUUUAGGUCUUGGUGAGAAGUGGGAUGGAGGGGAUGUGGCGAGAUACGCUGGUGGAGGACACAAAAUUAAUCUGCUGAUCAAUGGACUGAAGAAAUACAAGAAAAAGGAUAAGCAACUCAUUAUGUUUGUUGACAGUUAUGAUGUUGUCUUCACUGAUGGAGCACCAGCCAUCUUGGAAAAGUUCGUCAAGUUUGAUGCUCGUGUUUUGUUUUCUGCAGAAGGCUUUUGCUGGCCUGAUUCAAAACUUGCGAAAGAUUACCCUCCUGUAAAAAUUACUGAGAAGAGGUUUCUUAACUCUGGUGGAUUUAUUGGUUAUGCUAGUGACCUGUAUGAAAUUGUGACACACUCCAAAGUGAACAACAAAGAUGAUGACCAACUAUAUUACACCAAGAUCUUCCUAAACGAAUCACUCAGGGAUAAGUGGGCUAUUAAGCUGGACACAAGAUCUGACAUUUUCCAGAAUCUCAAUGGGGCUCUCGCUGAUACAAACAUCAAGUUCAAGGGAUCCCACAGUUACCUGUACAACCUUCUGUCGGGCACCACCCCCAUCGUCAUCCAUGGGAACGGACCAAUAAAAGUUGAGUUCAACCGGAUGGCCAACUACCUGGCUGAUGGGUGGACACAGAGCUCUGGCUGUCUGUCGUGUCAGGAGGAUACGAUCAGCUUGGAAGGCCUGAAGGAAUCCGACUAUCCGACUGUGGUGAUGGCUCUGUUUGUCGAACACAACACUGUUUUCAUCGAGGAAUACUUCCAACGGAUCUCUGAACUGAACUACCCUAAAGACAAAAUUGAUGUCUUCAUUCAUAACGGCAUGGUGCGGCAUACAAAAGAUGUAUCAAGAUUCGUAGAGAAAAACAAGGAUCUGUAUAAUUCCUUGAAUUCCAUCGGGCCGUAUGACGACAUUGUUGAAUCAAUGGCACGAAACUGGGCUGUGGAGGAGUGUAUAAAGAAGAGCUGUAACUAUCUGUUUGUUGUCGACUCGGACGCUCAGCUUGUGAACCAAGACACGCUGCAGGUUCUUAUUCAGCAAAACAGAACUGUGAUUGCACCAUUGUUGGUUCGUCCUGCCAAAUUGUGGUCAAACUUCUGGGGUGCCAUAGGUGACAAUGGAUUCUAUGCACGGUCAAUGGAUUACCAUGAAAUAGUGGAAUUAACCAAAAGAGGAUUGUGGAAUGUUCCUUUUGUAAGCAUCUCCUACCUGAUCCAAGGUCAUCGUUUGAAAGAGAUGAGGGACGCAUUUACAGAGUACGACAUGGAUCCAGACAUGUCUUUCUGCAGACUUCUCAGAGAACAGGGAACGUUUAUGUUUGUAACAAACCAAGUACAUUUUGGACACCAGACGAAUAGCGACGGUUAUGAUACAACACAUCUUCAUGAAGAACUUUACCAGAUCUUUGAAAAUGAGCUGGAUUGGAGUAAUCGCUACGUCCACGAGAAUUAUUCACGACAGUUAGAGGCAGGAUACGUCAAUGAACAACCGUGUCCCGAUGUGUUUUGGUUUGCUAUGUUCACACCUCAGUACUGUAAUCAACUAGUGGAGGAAAUGGAAAACUACGGCCAGUGGUCUGGUGGAAAAAACAAGGAUCCCCGUCUCCCCGGCGGAUACGAAAACGUUCCCACAGUCGAUAUUCACAUGCGUCAGAUUGGAAUGGAGAAACACUGGCUUCACUUUUUGAAAGUCUACAUUAUGCCGUUGCAGCAGAAAGAAUUCAUAGGAUAUUUUUCCGAUCCACCUACUGCGUUGAUGAAUUUCGUAGUGAGAUACCGGCCAGAUGAACAGCCAUUUUUGAGACCGCAUCACGAUUCAUCUACCUACACGAUCAACUUAGCUCUGAACAGAGUCAAUGUAGAUUUUGAGGGCGGUGGUUGCCGAUUCAUCCGCUACAACUGCAGCGUCACAUCCCUGCGACAAGGGUGGAUGUUCAUGCACCCUGGCCGUCUGACGCACUACCAUGAAGGACUCCACGUUACCAAGGGAACGAGAUACAUCAUGGUCUCCUUCGUGGAUCCUUAAAUCGGUGGCCGUUCAUGUACCAAAGAAUCUUUUAGUGAAGAAGUAACAAUCUGUUCACUAUGAUUGGUACUAAAUUUUAUAGCAAAAGUGUGUUGCUAUGGUAACAUUAGUACUAAAUUUUCUUGUAGCAAGCACUGGUGCGAAAUAUUGUAGCCAAAGUGUGUUGCUAUGGUAACAUUAGUACUAAAUUUUCUUGUAGCAAGCACUGGUGCGAAAUAUUGUAGCCAAAGUGUGUUGCUAUGGUAACACUGGUGCACAAUAUUGUAGCAAACGUGUGUUACCAUAGCAAUACUGGUGCUUAAAAGAUACAGUUUGAUGAGGAUGUACUAUUCUUUGUAGAUCUAUGAAUACAGAGAGUAUUUGAAAAUUGGUGCUAAUAUUUCUACGGAAUAUACAAUUAAUGUGUUCAAUGUUUCAAUGAAAUGAUAAAAACCAAAAUAAUGUCUGAUUAAUCUUGUCUUUUAGUUAUUAUUAGCUGCUUUUUUGGAUUCUUAUAUCUAUUUUUUAAUGCCUCCUUCAUACAAAUAUGUUAUUGUAAUAUUGUUACUUUACAUAAAAUGUUAUUUUUUAUUUUGUGUGGCUUAACUAUAAAAUGGUCCUGUUCUCAUCCAAUCAUUCUUUAAAAAUGCCAAUUUUUUUAUUUAUUGUUGAAUAAAUAAAUUGUCUAAAUAGUAUUCGAAUGUUUGUUGUUUAGACUCAUUUUUAAUAGCAUAUUUAAACAUAAUAAAUUUUAUACUAUUACACUGGUUGUAGUUGUUUGCUUGAACAAUUGUCAGAAGGUCAUGUUCUGGACUCCAUUGUGUACAGAGAUACGACUGAAUAAUUGUGUUACUACUGUAUCUUACUAAAAUAGUGUAAAUGAGAUCUCUCACCACAAGUAGUUUUUGCAGCUAUGCAUUUAUUCCUUAUACAAACCACAUUGUUUAUUUUUAAAACCAAUAAUGCAAGCAGAUUGUAAAUAGAAGAAAUGUUUUUGGGGGAAGGGUAUACAUAGAUUAUAUCAAAUGUUGCUUUUUGUAAUGGGUGUUGGUUUCUGUAUCAUGUUUAUAUGUUUGUGAAAUAUCUUCUAUUAUUUAGGCAGAAGAUACUAAAAUUAAAGGCACUGAAUUAAAAAACCCAUAUGAAAUAUUUCAAAGACAUUUCAUUGAAUUCAAGUUAUAAAGGGACUCUAAGAAUUUUGUUUAAAAAAGAAGAAGAAGAUAUUGGGAACUAAAAUGAAGUUUGACCUAGUACAAAUUUUUAGAACAAUCAGAAAAGCAUUUAAUAUAUAGACAACAUUAAAGCAUGUGUAUGUUAAGCAUUUGUGUAGCCCUACUAUGUAACACAUGCUGCAAAUUUUUGCUACAACUGCUUUUAAACACACAUUUAUGAUUACUAUUUUUAUUGGUGUAAUUUAGAUUUUUCUAAACAAAACUAUAUUUUUAAUUUUUUUAUUGUAAACCUAGGGAAUCUGAUUAUUAUUAGGGAUCAACAUUUCUAAGCUGGACUGGAAAUGAAGAUAGGACCUUUAACAGUGGGGUUUUUUUUUCGUUUCUCAAGUUUUUUUGUUGUUGUUUUUUUAAAUGAUAAUACCGGUACAGUAGUUUAUUUAGAACCAAUGGUUAGAAAAAAACUUUGACCUCUUUGAAUUUAACAGGGUUUUUUAUUUUUUAUUUUUUUAUUAUUAUUAUAUUAACUAUAUAAUUUUCUUUUAAAAAUAAUGAUGAUAGUUUUGUUAUUAUUAUUAUUAUAAUAAUAUGCCUACAAUCAAAGGUCAUGCAACAAUAAACCAGGUUGUGAUUUAAUGAAUAAAAUUCACCAAAUUCAAACUUAAAUUGUGCAAAUAUUUUCAUAAUAAAUUUUCCCAAAAUACGUAUUUCAGAACUGGUUUGUAUAGACUGUUUUGUGUUUGAUGCAGACAAAUUGUCUACACACUUUCAUAUUGGCUAAAUUGCAAACAAUCUAUAGUUUUUCAAGUUACACUUUGGAAUUAAUUCUAAGUGUGAAUUUUAAAUCUGAGCUAGAUGUAAAAACUGUAGAUAAAUAGCAUUUCCUAGGUCUGAUACAUGUACCCAAAUUAUAUUUUCAGACAGAGAAGCUUUUUAUGUAUGUAUUAACAAACAAUGUAUACUUGUUUUACAUUCUGUGCCAAAUAUCUUGCUGUUGUGAAAAUGCUCAUAUACUUGUCUACUUAACAUUUACAUUAUAUACGUUCGCUUUACUGCCAAACUUACAGAUAUUAAUUCAGUAGUUAGAGAAUUCAGUCACAUUUCAGUCAACAGCCACCUGAAUAUAAAAAUGAUCUCUUUGGACAGGUGGCUGUUUAAAGGGACUGUCCCGAGUUUGCUUCUAUUGUGAGAUGUUGCUGACUGAUAAAAUAUUUUAACGAUGAAAAUUACAUUCUGAAUAUAUUUUCUUGUUUAGAAUAUCAGUGUCUGGAUAUUCAAUGUUUUUCUGGUCAUCAUCUUAAUUUGUGUACGUUUUCUUUCCACCUUUUUUUUUUAAAGUUGUGUUCACACUGUGCAACUUACAGUAACAAUAUACAGCAUGAAAGCGACAGUGUGUUAAGCAUUUAUAUAGGUCUACCAUGAAUCAUGUGCUGCAAAUUGAUUUGGUUUGCCAAUAAUUUUGUAGGUACAAAAAAAGAAGAACUAAAAUGAAUUUUGACCUAGUACAAAUUUUAAAACAAUCGGAAACGCAUACAAUAUAUAGAGACACUAGAUUAUUUUAUGCUGAAAAUAAAAUAUAUUUUAAAUGUGUAUUUUAGUCUGUUAUUCAGCAACAUCUUAACAAAACACAAAACUGAGUAUAGGUAGUACUAAACCAAAUAACUUCCGGCUGGGUCAAAGUCCGAGGUGCACCGAACUUUUGAUAGAGAAGUGAACACCACAAGUCCUGUGAUUGGUUAUAAAUGU
Molecule: unclassified non-coding RNA, 5292 nt
Filed under: Gigantopelta aegis
Lineage: Eukaryota; Metazoa; Mollusca; Gastropoda; Neomphalida; Peltospiridae
Description: multifunctional procollagen lysine hydroxylase and glycosyltransferase LH3-like, transcript variant X1
Source: RNAcentral